This 2743-nucleotide long non-coding RNA is filed under the name Homo sapiens (human). Its description in RNAcentral is "HSALNT0031066". Lineage: Eukaryota; Metazoa; Chordata; Mammalia; Primates; Hominidae. The record is from RNAcentral.
GAGUUUUCUCACACUCCAUGCAAGUGAGUUGGCGCAGAUAGACGUGCGGAAAUUGGAAUCUAACUCCACAUAAACCAGUUAUGUAUACGGGAAGUCCUUAUUUUGCAUAGUAAUGCAAGACCAUAAAAAUGACUGUCACAGCACUUCCUCCUCCUUGUGGUUGGACGGUUCCACGUGACCAGUCUAGCCAAUGGAUUGUGAGCAGAAGUUACAUGUGUCAGUUCCGUGCCAAACCAUUUGAUGGACAGUCAGUCGUGUCCUAGCCCCUGAGGAUAUCGGAGGAGGUGGCUGCUCUGUUAGCCUAAGUCUCUGAGCAACAAAGGUGAGCAGAGGCCCCCUGCUGAGAUAUGAUGGACAUGUAGCAUAAGCAAGAAGUAAACCUUUGUUUUAAGCCACUGAGAUCUUGGGGUUAUUUGUUUCUGUAGCAUAGCAACUCGUUAUGAUUGAUAUAAAAUAUCAUCAGGAGGUAAUCUAGGAAAAGGAGGAUAGGGAGCUGGGCAGAAUUUAGAACUCAGAAAUUGGCAGCUGAUAGUAAAAGGGCUCCAAAUUUGUAGGGGUAGGAGGAGAGGAAGAAUCAGGGGCAUGUACUUAAAAAAUCUUUAUAUGAUAAAAAAAAAAUUAGCACAGACACAGAAAAUAAAUGUAUAGCUUAAUAAAUUAUUAAAAAAUGAAGGUUAUCCAUUUAUGGAUUAAUAGAUUAAUGGACUAUCAUGGGAGUGGGACUCGUGGUUUAUAAGAAGAGGAAGAGAGACCUGAGCUAGCACUCAGCCCCCUUGCCAUGCAAUGCUCUGUACCAGUUUAGGACUCUGCAGAAAGUGCCUACCAUCAAGAAUGUCUCUCGCCAGACGUGGUAACUUGACCUUGAACUUCUCAGCCUCCAUAACUGUAAGAAAUAAAUUCCUUUUCUUUGUAAAUUACCCGGUUUCAGGUAUUCUUUUAUAAGCAAUAGAAAAUGAGACUGUUUCCUCACCCCUCCCUCUUUGCCCUCAAGAGGCGACCACUUACUUGCCUCUUAUGGAAACACCCUCCUUCCUUUCCUCAUGCCAUUAUCAGUCCACAUGUGCAUCCUUCAACAUUGUGGUUUAGUUUUACUUUUUAAAUAUUUUAAAGUCUCUUUUAAUGUACAGACUUCCCCUUUACCACACUCCUUUCCCCUUGUGAAUGUAUGUGUUACAAGAACUAGAUCAUUGGUAGAGUUUCCCACAGCAUAGAUUUUGCCACUUGUACCCCCACGGUGCCAUUGAUGUGUUCCUCUGGCCCCUGUAUUUCCUGUAAAUUGCUAGUUGGAUCUAUAGGCUUGAUCCAAUGUGGGUUUGAUUAUUUUUGGCAAGACAACGUCAUAGGUGGUGGUGCCUUUGUUCUCCAGAAAGUGUAAUCAUCUUUAAAAUAAUUAUUAUUUUAAUAAUAACCAUAGGUGUUCAUUUAUUUGGGGUUACAGAAUGGCAAAAUUCCAAUUUGAAAUGUCUCCUGUUCCACUCUGGUUACCAAUGAUGCAGUUCAAAUGGGACCAUCAGGGUAAAUGCUUGAUUUUUUUGUUUGUUUGUUUCUUCAGAAUUCAAAGCUUUGUCACAUACAUGUACUAGUUGCUAAGAUCUGAAUGUGGCAAAACUGUUGUAAAGGUCAACCUGGCCUCGAUUGGCCCAGCCUUCUCUCCCCAGGUCCUUUGACCUCCUGAGAGAUCAUUCCAGGCCCUGUGAAUCUCAGUUUUUCUUCCCAUCUCCCCACCCCGUCAGAGCCCACCUUCAUGGAGGGAAGGUCCUCAUGCUCACUCACCUUAGGAGGUAAAUUGUGGGCAUUGUCCACUCUAGGGAAUGUGGAUUUUAAGGCCUCUCUCUCAAAUAUUGUCUCACUUAGUCCCUGUGGAGUUCAAAACAGGUAGCUUCAAGCCCAAACUCACCUUGCAAUGUUUUGUUUUGGCCAUCACAGAGUGUUUUCACUUGUUGUUUGUUUUGCUUUUAAGUGGAGCAAGACUGCAUUUAGGCAGGGGCAUAUUCUCUGCAGUUAGAUCAGAGCCCACCGCCUCCCCUUGCAUUGUACCCGCCCUGUGUUCUGAGUCCCUUUGUGUUGCAGAACCUUGUAGGUAGGUGUUAUUAGCCCAUUUUUCAGGUGAAUGGACAAGAACUGGAGAAUUGAUGUGGGGGACCUAGGUGAGGCACAAAUGGAAAUGGAACAGCCACUGAGUGCUCUGGGAAGGAGACCACAAGCCAAAGGAGAGAGUCCACACUGGGAAGACCCAGCUACAGGGCCCUCUCCAUCCAGCCUGGUGCAAACUAAAACCCACAUUCUUUUUUCUUCCCUUUUACAGAGACAGCUCAAGGAAGCAUGAUAAAAUGAGGCCUAAGAUAAUAUUUGAGGGGAAAGUUUAUUUUUUUAUGGUCUGUUUGCAUUACACCAUCGGGUGAAGAGAGGAGGAGAAAGACUUGUCCCAAAUGGCAGAGCUGGAGAAGCACAAAUCCAAUGUCAAUAGUUGGAAAUACAAGUGUGUGGUUUCAUUAAACUUCUUUUUUUAAAAAAAACUUUGUUCUUCCUUUUCCUGAGGCAGUCCAAGGGAAGGGGACACAGAGGUGGAAACAGACAGGGAGAGAGGAGGGAGCAAGCCAGGGCCAGCGAAGGGGGCUUGUCUUAAGGAACCUGCUCCCGCUGUGAGUGUCCUCAGCCAGCCCAGGAGGCUGGCAGGCCUGAUCAGAAGCAGCCAGCCAGAGCCUUCCGCUGAUUCCAAUGACGGCUGCUAAGCAGGGGCAGG